Mobula hypostoma (lesser devil ray) is the source of this 1834-nucleotide long non-coding RNA. RefSeq lists it as uncharacterized. The record is from RefSeq and is a predicted model, not a curated record. The transcript has 5 exons. Lineage: Eukaryota; Metazoa; Chordata; Chondrichthyes; Myliobatiformes; Myliobatidae.
CAGGACGUCUGCAUGCGACGCUCCCUCUCUGCCUCUCACUCAAUACUGUCGGGGAAUGGUGCCGUACUUUGUGGAUUUGGACUCUAAUUCAGAACGCCAAUGUGCCAAAAGCUUUCACAAGGGGGAGUUAAGAUCUGAAGGGCGCCGAAGCCUUUCGCUGUCCAUUGUUUGGUCAAUUUAAGCACUGUCCAAGAUCAAUCCGAAAGACAGGGUGUCAGGAUCCAGGAUGAGAGUUGAUAUCGCUCGUUCUCCGCAAUGGUCAGUCCUCUCCCCAUGGUGCUUAGGUUAUGAAGACAGCCCUGGCUGCCAUGCUCUGUGCCCACUGAUAUGAUGAACUGAUAAGCGAGGCUUUGAAUCUAUUCCAGGCUGCUCCAGGCACAAGAGAAUAAAUUGUUGUGGAGCACAACCACCAACUCUACAGCACAAUCAAAUUGAGAUACACGGCAUGCAUUUCCCGUAACUUCACUUCAGAGAAAGAGAACAUAAUUGGACCAGACUGCAAAAGAACAGAAUCACUUUCACUCAGUGUCUUGUCAGAUCUUCAUAUUCUUCUAUUACAUAGGCUGCUGUUUACAAGAUUUUAGGACAAAGGAAUGGAAUUAAGCUGUUCAGCCCAUCAAGUCAAUGCUGUCAUUUUAUCAUGGCUGAUGUGUUUUUCUUCUCAACUCUAUUCUCCUACUUGCAAUCAUCGACACCCUCACUAAUUAAGAACCUAUUGUUGUGGGUUUAAUAUUUUAGCAAUAUUAUAAAUGUAUUGUUUGAUUAAACAUGCUUUUUUUGUUUACAUAAUUUAUUUUGGGUUAUUUGUAAAUGUAUGUGAAUGGCAUACAUUAUCAAGCCACCAUCUGAUAUGUGCACACCUCGCUAAAGUAAAAACAAAAUGCACACAUUCUCCAGGGCUUCCGUUUUUGUCUUUCAAUUACUUUCAUGCUUUGGAGUUACAAAACAAAAGAGUAUCAACCUCCACUUUAAAUAUACCCAAUCACUUAGCCUCCACAGCCCUCAACAGCAAUGAACUCCAGGAUUCACAAUACUCUGGCUAAAGAAAUUCCUCAUCUCUGUUCUAAAGGAAUGACCUUCUAUUUGAGGUUGUGCCCUCUGGUCCAAUACUCUCCUUAUAUAAAAAAAAAUGAGAGCUCCUCUUUCAAUCUUCUAAACUCCAUGGCGUAUGGGCCCAUGGGCAUCAAAUUUACCUUAUACAUUAACACUUUCAUUCCUGGGAUCAUUCUUGUAAACCUCCUCCAGAACCUAUCCAAUGGCAGAAUAUCCUUUCUGAGACAAAGGGCCCGAAACUGCUCACAACACUCCAAAUGUGGUCCAAUCAAUAUCUUAUAAAAAGCUUCAGUAUUGCAUCCUCACUUUUACAUUCUAGCCCUCGUAAAAUGAAUGCUAACAUUGCAUUUACCUUCCUAACCACCAACUCAAACUGCGAGUUAACCUUUAGGGAAUCCUGCACUAGGACUACCUUUGCAUCUCUGAUUCCAGAAUUUGUUCCCUAUUUAGAAAAUAAUCUAUGACUUUAUUCCUUCCACAAAAGUGCAUGACCACUAUAUUCCAUCUGGCACUUUCUUGCCCAUUCUCCUAAUCUACCAAAGUCCUUCUGCAGACUCAUACUUUCUCAAAACCAGCUGCUUCUCCAUUAAUCUUUGAGAUAUCUGCAAACUUGGCCACAAAGCCACCAAUUCCAUCAUCCAGAUCAGUAACACAAGAUGUGAAAAGCAGCUGACCCAAAAUCAACCUCUGCAGGACACCACUAGUUACUAGCAGCCAACUAAAAUUUGCCCACUUUUUGCCUCCAUGCUGGUACUUUUCCUGUAACAUCAUGGCCUCUCAU